AUGUGCACAAUUUUAUCAAAUUUACCUGCAAAAGAGGCUGUACGGUCUAGUGUUUUGUCCAGCGAGUGGAGAUCUAUAUGGACAACUUGCCCCAAACUGAGUUUCAAUGCCAAGGAUCAUGUGCCUAGGCAUGGAGGGAAACAAUAUGCCCAGAUGUUCAUAGACCAUGUUAAUGCAGUCUUGAAAAAGCACCACGGCAAGGUUGUCGACAAUCUUGAGAUAAAAUUCGUAUUUGAGAGCAAGCUAGUUUACCAUCUCAACAGUUGGAUAAGGUUUGCUAUGUCCUCCCGGACUAAGAAUCUAUCAUUUGAUUUGGCACCACUGCCGGAAUUUUGGAAAUAUAGGAAUCAUUACAGGUUCCCGUUUGAACUUUUAGACAUGGAUAGUGUAUCCUGUCUACGUUGUCUUCAACUCAGAUUUGUAUGUUUCAAACCACCCCCUUCCCAGUUUCCAGGUUUCCCAAACCUAAGAAACAUAGUCAGGUGUGAUCUGGACGAUGAACUGAAGGUGGUCCAGCGACCAUUGUCCAAUCUGCAGUACCUAAGAGUCAAAUUCUGCGGGUUCACCAAGAUAGAGUUCCAUGCUGCCAAGCUCUCCACCUUUGUGUAUAAAGGGGACUGCAUACCUAUUGCCUUCCAUCAAGCUCCCGAGAUGGAAAAUGCAGAAAUUUGUUUCUGUGCUUCUACCUUUCGGCGUGGUUCAGCUGUGGUUCUCAAUGGGCUUCCACAUGUUCCGAACCUCACUUUGAAAAUUUCAGUUGAAGUGCUAGAGACUACAUGGACAUCAGAUAGCCAUUACAUGUUCCCGCAGCUCAAGCAUCUGCAGAUAAUAUUGGCUGUAGAUCAUAAACAUGAUGACAAGAUUCUCUACUUGGUUCCCCUUUUGAGGGCUGCUCCGUUUAUUGAACACUUGGAAGUACAUGUGAGUAUUUUCUUGUCGGAUCACCUUUGUAGACAAGACAUUCCACAAUCCGAACACAAAUACCUACACCUGAAGAAGAUGCAUGUCACCGGAUUCAAAGCCACCAAAGGCCAGCUUCAACUCCUGUUUCAUGUCGUGGAGAACGCCCCUGCGAUAGAGACUCUCGCCGUAGAUACAAUUCAAAGACAGUAUGAUCUGUUGGAUACAUAUGAGAUUCUCCCGGCGCUCCGCAACUCCGCCCUUGAUAUUGUCAGGGAUCCUCUCUCUAAGAGACUUCCACCAGAUGCCAAGCUCUACCUUCUGUAA
This 1227-nucleotide ribosomal RNA is filed under the name Triticum aestivum (bread wheat). RNAcentral's name for it is "partial small subunit ribosomal RNA". The record is from RNAcentral. Lineage: Eukaryota; Viridiplantae; Streptophyta; Magnoliopsida; Poales; Poaceae.